Molecule: small nucleolar RNA, 107 nt
Filed under: Gossypium hirsutum (cotton)
Lineage: Eukaryota; Viridiplantae; Streptophyta; Magnoliopsida; Malvales; Malvaceae
Description: Plant small nucleolar RNA R71
Rfam family: Plant small nucleolar RNA R71
About the family: R71 is a member of the C/D box family of snoRNAs containing the C (UGAUGA) and D (CUGA) box motifs. Multiple nearly identical copies of this snoRNA have been identified in Arabidopsis, and it is thought to function as a 2'-O-ribose methylation guide for 18S ribosomal RNA.
Source: Rfam by way of RNAcentral
AGCCUAUGGUGAUGACACAUUCUCAAUAAAUCCUUAUACCUCUCCCAUGCAUCAUAUAAUGUCUCUAAAUCGACUUGCACAAAAGAAGAGAUGUAGUUCCUCAACUU